UGCAAUGGCAUAAGCCAGCUUGACUGCGAGCGUGACGGCGCGAGCAGGUGCGAAAGCAGGUCAUAGUGAUCCGGUGGUUCUGAAUGGAAGGGCCAUCGCUCAACGGAUAAAAGGUACUCCGGGGAUAACAGGCUGAUACCGCCCAAGAGUUCAUAUCGACGGCGGUGUUUGGCACCUCGAUGUCGGCUCAUCACAUCCUGGGGCUGAAGUAGGUCCCAAGGGUAUGGCUGUUCGCCAUUUAAAGUGGUACGCGAGCUGGGUUUAGAACGUCGUGAGACAGUUCGGUCCCUAUCUGCCGUGGGCGCUGGAGAACUGAGGGGGGCUGCUCCUAGUACGAGAGGACCGGAGUGGACGCAUCACUGGUGUUCGGGUUGUCAUGCCAAUGGCACUGCCCGGUAGCUAAAUGCGGAAGAGAUAAGUGCUGAAAGCAUCUAA
This 435-nucleotide ribosomal RNA is filed under the name Escherichia coli. RNAcentral describes it as "partial 23S ribosomal RNA". It matches the Rfam family "Bacterial large subunit ribosomal RNA", at positions 2350 to 2784 of the family's 2925-position model. The record is from RNAcentral. Lineage: Bacteria; Pseudomonadati; Pseudomonadota; Gammaproteobacteria; Enterobacterales; Enterobacteriaceae.